This 133-nucleotide ribosomal RNA is filed under the name uncultured bacterium. RNAcentral describes it as "partial 16S ribosomal RNA". The record is from RNAcentral.
UCUUACAGUACCGUCAAGCUCGGACACGUCCGAGUGUUUCUUCCUGUAUAAAAGCAGUUUACAACCCAUAGGGCCGUCUUCCUGCACGCGGCAUGGCUGGAUCAGAGUUGCCUCCAUUGUCCAAUAUUCCUCA